GGAGACACAGCUUAAAUGGUAGAGUGCCUGAUUAGCAAGAGAAGAGGACCUAGGUUCAAUCCCUAGUAUCUCCA
RNAcentral lists this transfer RNA (74 nucleotides) under Dipodomys ordii (Ord's kangaroo rat). It matches the Rfam family "tRNA". From Rfam's summary of the family: Transfer RNA (tRNA) molecules are approximately 80 nucleotides in length. Their secondary structure includes four short double-helical elements and three loops (D, anti-codon, and T loops). The record is from Rfam by way of RNAcentral. Lineage: Eukaryota; Metazoa; Chordata; Mammalia; Rodentia; Heteromyidae.